UAUAUAUAUAUAUAUAUAGUUUUCAUGUGAAGUUAUUGAUACAUACACACAUGUGGAAUUACUAACUGAAAUUCUAAUAUAUAUCUCCUGUUCAAUACACACACAUGGACAUACACAUAUAUGUAAAUGUUUGUUCUUAUGUCAAGUUUAUAAUAAAUACCAUUUUACAUUAAACUGCAGGUUAGCUCAGUACCGUUUCUUUUUCCAUGCUAGCAUUGAUUCAGGCAGAGAGCUAUUUGGGACAGGAUUUUGCAGACUGGUGCUCUUCCUGUUGCAAAUCCUUUUUUCGUUUUCAAAGAGAUUUCUUGAUUAAUCAGGUCUUCAAGAAUGCAGACUGACCAGUUGCAAUGUUAUCAAGGGAUUUGACAUUCACGCUGCUUUCCUCAAGGAAACACAGAUACUCGUACACACAUCUAGAUACAUACUUGUAUUUAUUUGUAUGUGUACAUACACACACACACAUACAUUAUCUCCAUAUCUCCAUAUUUUUAUUCAAUCUGUUCCUAAAAUAUGUUCAUUCACAGCAAUAAAGCCCCAUCUUCCCAUUGUAAGCACCAUGUAAGUCACCGUGGGUUACAGAGUAAUAUUUGUACUACAUAACUCACUAUGGGUUACAGAGUAAGGUUUGUGCUAUAUAACUCAUUGUGGGUUAGAGGCUAGUAUAUAACUCACUGUGGGUUAGAGGUUAGGUUUAAAAAUGGAGUAGAUAUCUUUUAUCUCUUCUUCCUAAUAAACAUUUGCUGCAACUGUU
Molecule: long non-coding RNA, 751 nt
Organism: Octopus sinensis (East Asian common octopus)
Lineage: Eukaryota; Metazoa; Mollusca; Cephalopoda; Octopoda; Octopodidae
Exons: 2
Source: RefSeq, a predicted model, not a curated record